Molecule: long non-coding RNA, 614 nt
Organism: Lycium barbarum (goji berry)
Lineage: Eukaryota; Viridiplantae; Streptophyta; Magnoliopsida; Solanales; Solanaceae
Exons: 3
Source: RefSeq, a predicted model, not a curated record
CUAUAACAACCUGAAAUAUUGGGCCUUGGCCCAUCUAAGUUACUUAGAUAACUGAUACUUCAAGGGGACAAUUGCCGGAAGCGAAUUGGAGUUAUUCGGCAAGAGUACAAUAAUUUAGCCGAAGGUGACAUUCUGACUCAGACAGAGCGAUAGACAGAGCUGACAACGAAUCCAGUAAGCCCCCCACUUGUUUCGCGAGGGCAACCAUGUUGCUAACUACUAUAGUAUAUUAGUUUUUUUUCCUUUUUUUUUUUUCUAAUCCUAGAGUUUUGCUCCUUAAGUCGGCCUUGUAUAUCUUAUUUUGGCUUGUGUUAGUAAAGUAUAGCUUGGGACUUAUAAGUUUUGCGAAAGCCCAUCUUGGGAUUCUAAUGCUCUAUAACACUUAAUAUGUUGGUAUUGUAGUUCGUUGGAUUAUUUUACUGGGUGUUGACAGGUUUUGAUUUUUGGAUUUUCUCCCCGUACAGAGGAAACUCUGCCGAAAUUUUUACUAACAAGAAAUGAUUCAGGCUUGUUCAGUUGGCUUAGGCUAACUGAGCGUCGGUCAUGACCUAGGUGGGCGGGUCGUGACAAGUACUCAGGCAUACCAUUGUUGUUUUUGAUGGUAUGUUAGGUAA